UACGGAGGGUGCAAGCGUUGUUCGGAAUUACUGGGCGUAAAGCGCGCGUAGGCGGGCUGUUAAGUCGGAGGUGAAAGCCCUGGGCUCAACCCCGGAACUGCAUUCGAUACUGGCAGCCUAGAGUAUGGGAGAGGUGAGUGGAAUGCCGAGUGUAGAGGUGAAAUUCGUAGAUAUUCGGCGGAACACCCGUGGCGAAGGCGGCUCACUGGCCCGAUACUGACGCUGAGGUGCGAAAGCGUGGGGAGCAAACAGG
Molecule: ribosomal RNA, 253 nt
Filed under: uncultured bacterium
Lineage: Bacteria
Description: partial 16S ribosomal RNA
Rfam family: Bacterial small subunit ribosomal RNA
Source: RNAcentral